AUGGAUUCAAAGGCUCUCCUCUGGUCCACUGUAGCUCUGAUCGUUUUGUUUCUGCCGUUUAGUGCUUCAGAUGACCGGCUUGUCCCUGGCAAGCCGCUGUCUCCCGGCAACAUCAUCGUCUCCGAUGGCGGCACGUUCGCCUUGGGCUUCUUCAACCCCUCCAACUCCACUCCAUCCACGGUUUACCUUGGCAUAUGGUACAACGACAUCCCUGAGUUCAUAGUUGUGUGGGUUGCUAACCGUGAAACCCCAGCCAACAACAACACUUCCUCUCCACCAAUGCUCUCCCUCACCAACAGCUCAAAUCUUAUCAUCUCUGAAGGUAAUAGUGGCGGCCGUGUCCUUUGGAUGACGCCUAACGUGACAACUACUGUGGACUCGUCUACCCCAACGGCGGUGCUUCUGAACACCGGGAACCUUGUUAUCCGGUUGUCAAACGGCACCACGCUGUGGCAGAGCUUUGACCAUCAAACAGACUCGUUCCUCCCUGGGAUGAAGCUCCGAAUCAAAUCCAACACGCCCAACAUUGUCGAGCGUCUGGUGUCGUGGAAGGGCCCUGGCAACCCUUCGCCGGGGCGCUUCUCCUAUGGUUUCGACCCAGACACAGCCUUCCAAGUAUUCCUGUGGGAUGGAGAGAACUUGGUGUCCCGAAGCAUCCCAUGGACCGGAUUCCAAGUAAUGAGUGUAGACCAACAACAGCUAGCGGCAACCAUGAACGUCAGUGAUCUUAUCGUGUACAUAGCCUUCGUCGACAAUGGCGGUGAGAUCUACUUCACAUAUAGCCUCGCUGACGGUGCCCCGCUCACAAGGCUGGUGCUGACGUACUUUGGUGAGUAUCACCUCGAGAGCUGGAGCAGCAGCUCGUCGGCAUGGGCUAUCCUCUGGAAGAUGCCUUCCACUGAAUGCAACCGCUACGGUUACUGUGGCCCGUAUGGUUACUGCGACGAGACAGCAACACCAGUCCCAACGUGCAAAUGCCUAGACGGGUUUGAGCCAGCAAACAAGGAGGAGUGGACUGGGGGCCGGUUCAUGGCGGGGUGCCUACGGAAGGAGCAGCUACACGGGUGUGGCGGUAGCUUCUUGGCGUUGCCGGGGAUGAAGUUACCAGACAAGCUUGAGCUCAUCGGAGGGGGCAUGAGUACGUUUGAGGAGUGUGCAGUGAAGUGCAAUCGCAACUGCUCCUGUCUGGGGUACGUGUACCGCAAUGUGAGUAGCCGCAGGUUCAGAGGAGACAUGACGUGCAUGGUAUGGACCGGUGAGUUGGUUGACACAGGAAAAGUAGGCGUAGGUGGCGAGACAAUCUAUCUCCGAGUUGCAACAGAUAAAAGGAGAAAGAUUAACGCAGUCAAGAUUGUGCUGUCAGUUUUAGGAAGUGAUGUUCUCAUAUUCAUAUGCAUCUCUUUUGCAUGGUUAAAAUGCCAAGGAAAGAAUAAAAAAUGGAGAAAGCACAAGAUUAUAAGUUUGUUUUUCAUGAGUACGUCUCAUGAACUUGGGGAAGAAAAUCCUCCUCAUGAUCAAGAAUUUCCAUCUGUAAGACUAGAAGAAAUUGCCCUCGCAACACACAAUUUCUCUGAAGCAUGCAUGAUCGGACAAGGAGGCUUUGGAAAAGUUUACAAGGGGAUUGUUAGGUGGUCAGCAAGUCGCAGUCAAGAGGCUAAGUACAGAUUCUCAACAAGGAACAAAAGAAUUCAGGAAUGA
RNAcentral lists this ribosomal RNA (1698 nucleotides) under Triticum aestivum (bread wheat). RNAcentral's name for it is "partial small subunit ribosomal RNA". The record is from RNAcentral. Lineage: Eukaryota; Viridiplantae; Streptophyta; Magnoliopsida; Poales; Poaceae.